GAUGAAGAACGCAGCAAAAUGCGAUAAGUAAUGUGAAUUGCAGAAUUCAGUGAAUCAUCGAAUCUUUGAACGCACAUUGCGCCCGCCAGUAUUCUGGCGGGCAUGCCUGUUCGAGCGUCAUUUCAACCCUCAAGCACAGCUUGGUGUUGGGACUCGCGUUAAUUCGCGUUCCCCAAAUUGAUUGGCGGUCACGUCGAGCAUCCAUAGCGUAGUAGUAAAACCCUCGUUACUGGUAAUCGUCGCGGCCACGCCGUUAAACCCCAACUUCUGAAUGUUGACCUCGGAUCAGGUAGGAAUACCCGCUGAACUUAAGCAUAUCAAUAAGCGGAGGA
RNAcentral lists this unclassified non-coding RNA (332 nucleotides) under soil metagenome. RNAcentral describes it as "partial contains 5.8S ribosomal RNA, internal transcribed spacer 2, and large subunit ribosomal RNA". The stretch from base 1 to 120 matches the Rfam family "5.8S ribosomal RNA", at positions 35 to 154 of the family's 154-position model. The record is from RNAcentral.